AUGAUUUAGAAAUUAAUGUAAAGGGUCUUCCCUUCUUUUUGCCAAUGACAUAGGGGGAGAAAGAGUUGCUAAUGUGCAUAUCUCAAAGAGAAAAUUGCUAGCUUGCGUGUCUUAAAAUGUUGAAAUUUUUUUUGCUAGCUUGUAUAUUGUAAACUUGCUAUCGUACUACCAUGAUGAUGAGCAUGUCUUAUCUUCAUAAUCGUAUUUGAAAA
Molecule: long non-coding RNA, 212 nt
Filed under: Musa acuminata (dwarf banana)
Lineage: Eukaryota; Viridiplantae; Streptophyta; Magnoliopsida; Zingiberales; Musaceae
Description: long non-coding RNA (MACU_LNC010199)
Source: RNAcentral